Long non-coding RNA from Zalophus californianus (California sea lion), 245 nucleotides. RefSeq lists it as uncharacterized. The record is from RefSeq and is a predicted model, not a curated record. NCBI's taxonomy places the organism in Eukaryota, Metazoa, Chordata, Mammalia, Carnivora, Otariidae. The transcript has 3 exons.
GGAGAAACCGGUUCUACGGAACCCGAGCUUUAUUGUGACAUAAUUGACAUAUAACAUUGUGUGAGGUGUGAACACUGUGAUGAUUUGAUGCAUGUCUAUACUGCGGAAUGAUUACCAACACUAAGCAAAUCAUCCUGGGAAACUGUUGCUUGGUCUUCUGAUCCCACCUGAAAGAGAUUUCUUGUAGAGAGGCACAGUACCCCAAUUUUACCUAUAAAUGAUGACAUGUAACUUCUCACAUAAAC